RNAcentral lists this long non-coding RNA (1864 nucleotides) under Anser cygnoides (Swan goose). Its description in RNAcentral is "lncRNA (ENSACDG00005012232.1)". Lineage: Eukaryota; Metazoa; Chordata; Aves; Anseriformes; Anatidae. The record is from RNAcentral.
GCCUCGCAGCGCUGCGGGGCAAGGACAGGGCUCGCGGACCUGCUCCCAGUGUGCCCAGUGUCCCCAGCACAGCGCGCGCUGGGAGGGAGCCGGCUGGGGAGCCAGGUGGGGAGGGCUUAGUGAGAGACAAUCUCAGGGUCUGCGAGCGCCGGAGCAGAGACAGCCGGAAGAAGAGAUGCUGACGAGCAGCACAGAGCCGCGAGGAGCACGCCGUAAACAGCCCAGCUGCAAUGCAGGAGCCGGGCAGGCGCUGCUUUGUGCGCUCCAGCCGCUCCGCCAGGAACGGACCCAAACCUACGUGGGCCUCGGUGAGGAGGCGGCGCGGAGCCGGGCUCCCAACAGCCACAUCUGGAAGGGAUCAGCCGGCGGCUGCCGCCGAGAGCCAUCCCCAGUGCCGAGCCCCACGCCAGGCCAAGGAGGAGGCGCUGCCGAUGCGGCCGGCGGAGACGGCCACAGGCAUGUGGUGCACAUGGACGCACAGGGGCAGGGCAUGCACACACAUGCACACGGUGCACAAGGAUGCACAGGGAUGCACAGGGGCAGGGCAUGCACACAGUGCACAAGGAUACACGUGGAUGUGCAGGGGCAGGGCAUGCACACGGUGCACAAGGACGCACAUGGAUGCACAGGGGCAGGGCAUGCACACACAUGCACACGGUGCACAAGGAUGCACAGGGAUGUGCAGGGGUACAUGAUACCCAGGGAGGCUGAUGCAUACAUGCACACGGGGUGCACAUGGCUGCACACGGGCACAUGCGUGCACACACGUGCACAGGGGCACACAGGCAGGCUGGCAGAGCAGAGCCAGUGCAGAGCAGCCAGCCGGGGGCACAGAGGGCAGCAGAGAGAGAGGCAGCGCCCACGGUGGCUGCACACUGACCCCAACCUGCUCUGUCUCGGGCUGAUUUGGGCCAAUGCAGAGCACAGAGCCAGGGUCCCAGCAGCCCCAGCACCCAGGGCGCAGCAGCCCCGCCACCACCUCGAUGCCCUCUGCGAGGGCCCAGCUCUCACCCGGCGGCCGCAGCGACCUUGCUGGCAGGGCCCAAGGAGACGUGGGCAGAGCGGGCACUCCCCCACCAGCCGCUCACCCCCAGCGUGCCAGCACCGUGCUCCCCCAGCCGUGCGGCUCGCCCCGGGCACGGCAUCCAUCCGUCACUGGUGCUGGAGCAGCAGGCUGUGCCGAGGCCGGCACUGCGUCCCUGACUUCCCAUUUUUCAGGCUGAUUGCUCCUGUCGCUGCAGAGCCCGGUGUUAAACACCUCAUUUUCUACUCCCGUAUUGAGUUGGAAAAUACUAUUAACAUUUCAUUACAGCUUAAAGAUCCCUCUCAGCCUGGCACGAGGAGCCGACCCGCCGGCGGCAUCGGGCCCUUGCCGGGCAGGCUGUGCUGCCUGCAGCCCUCAGGGCGAGGAGGGCCAGGAAAGCAAGUCCUGCUCGUGUCCCCACUGCAGGCAGGACGGUGAUCGGGGCAGAGGUGGGUGCUGGUGCUGCUCACCAGCUCGGUGACCGGCCUGGCACAGCACAGCCUCCCGGCACUCUCGUCUGGAGCAGUGGAACAAAGCAGGGAUGGAGCCACGGGGCAGCGGUGUCCGAGCAGAGCACAAGCAGUUUUUGAUUCCCAACCCCUUUUCCUCACCUGCAGGAGCCUGGCCCAGCAGUAACACAGAGCAGCCACUAAAUAUCAGCAAAUUCACUCUUUAGUACUCUCCCGACGGUGCUCCGAACGCUUGUGAAAGGCACCUUUAGCCGCCCAGCGUGGCAAAGCGAGUGCGGAGUGGGUUUGUGGUGAGCGCCCAGCAAGAGGGACAGGAGCCCCAGACCUCGGGCACAGCCUGCUCCCAAAACCUGCACCAGCAGGAAGAGCA